This 442-nucleotide ribosomal RNA is filed under the name uncultured bacterium. Its description in RNAcentral is "partial 16S ribosomal RNA". It matches the Rfam family "Bacterial small subunit ribosomal RNA", at positions 338 to 795 of the family's 1533-position model. The record is from RNAcentral.
CCUACGGGCGGCUGCAGUGGGGAAUAUUGGGCAAUGGGCGCAAGCCUGACCCAGCAACGCCGCGUGAAGGAAGAAGGCUUUCGGGUUGUAAACUUCUUUUCAGAGGGACGAGCAGAAGACGGUACCUCUUGAAUAAACCACGGCUAACUACGUGCCAGCAGCCGCGGUAAUACGUAGGUGGCAAGCGUUGUCCGGAUUUACUGGGUGUAAAGGGCGUGCAGCCGGGAAGACAAGUCAGAUGUGAAAUCCCGCGGCUCAACCGCGGAACUGCAUUUGAAACUGUGUUUCUUGAGUACCGGAGAGGUAGGCGGAAUUCCGAGUGUAGCGGUGAAAUGCGUAGAUAUUAGGAGGAACACCAGUGGCGAAGGCGGCCUACUGGACGGUGACUGACGCUGAGGCUCGAAAGCGUGGGGAGCAAACAGGAUUAGAUACCCUUGUAGUC